Manis pentadactyla (Chinese pangolin) is the source of this 492-nucleotide non-coding RNA. The record is from the annotation of a RefSeq genome assembly. Lineage: Eukaryota; Metazoa; Chordata; Mammalia; Pholidota; Manidae.
AUGGCUCUGCAGAAUGCUCUGGAAGCACUGUGGCUGGGGCUCCUCCUCAGCUCUCCCUGGAAGGGGGCAGAGAGCAAGGACCAAGUGUUUCAGCCUUCCAUUGUUGCAUCUUCAGAGGGAGCUGUGGUGGAAAUGGCCUGUAAUCACUCUAUAUCCAAUGCUUAUGACUUCUUCUGGUACCCUCACUUCCCAGGACAUGCACCAAGACUCCUUGUUAAGGGCGCAAGGCCUUCUCAGCAGGGACACUACAACAUGAUGUAUGAGCGAGUCUCCUCAUCACUGCUCAUCUGCCAGGUGCAGGUGGCAGAUGCUGCCAUUUACUAUUGUGCCCUGGAGGGCACAGAGGCAGCGAGCCUGGGAAGAGCUGAACAGAAACUGGGAGAGAUCUUAGCCUUUGCAGGAGGCAGACUAGAGAUGAGCAGUAACUGCUUCUCCUAUAAUUCAUUGUUCCCUAAGCUUUCCCAUUUGGGCUGCUAUCCAAAAAAACUUUGA